UACAUUUUAGUGUAUGGUGCACAAGAAUUUUUGAUAUUCUAGGGGAUAGUUUAAUUCUAUUAAAUGUAG
RNAcentral lists this transfer RNA (69 nucleotides) under Episymploce sundaica. RNAcentral's name for it is "tRNA-Gln". Lineage: Eukaryota; Metazoa; Arthropoda; Insecta; Blattodea; Blattellidae. The record is from RNAcentral.